GGUAAGACUAGCCUAGUGGACAUGGCAUCUGCCCGGUAAGCGGAACACUGUGGGUUCGAUUCCCAUCCCUGGACACUUUUAUUU
This 84-nucleotide transfer RNA is filed under the name Cordylochernes scorpioides. RNAcentral's name for it is "tRNA-Thr". The stretch from base 9 to 66 matches the Rfam family "tRNA", at positions 8 to 63 of the family's 71-position model. From Rfam's summary of the family: Transfer RNA (tRNA) molecules are approximately 80 nucleotides in length. Their secondary structure includes four short double-helical elements and three loops (D, anti-codon, and T loops). Lineage: Eukaryota; Metazoa; Arthropoda; Arachnida; Pseudoscorpiones; Chernetidae. The record is from RNAcentral.